AGGGUUUGAUCAUGGCUCAGAACGUACGCUGACGGAAUGGAUUAGGCAUGCAAGUCGUACGAGCGAACUCUUCGGAGUGAGCGAGUGGCGAACGGGUGAGUAAUGCGUGGAUGACCUACCCUGAUGAGGGGGAUAACCAUUCGAAAGGAUGGCUAAUACCGCAUACGGUCGCCAGGUUUUCCUGGUGAUCAAAGCUGGCUUCGGCUGGCGCUUCAGGAGGGGUCCACGUGCUAUUAGUUUGUUGGUGGGGUAACGGCCUACCAAGACUAUGAUGGCUAGCCGGCCUGAGAGGGUGUCCGGCCACACUGGGACUGAGACACUGCCCAGACUCCUACGGGAGGCUGCAGUCGAGAAUCUUCCACUAAUGCGCGAAAGCGUGAUGGAGCAAUUCCGUGUGAGCGAUGAAGGCCUUAGGGUUGUAAAGCUCUGUUGGAGGGGCGUAAUCCCCGGGAGAGAAUAUCUUUCCGGGUUGAACUCCCCUCGGAGGAAGCAGCGGCUAAAUUCGUGCCAGCAGCCGCGGUAAUACGAAUGCUGCAAGCGUAGUUCGGAAUCACUGGGCAUAAAGGGCACGUAGGCGGCCCGACAAGUCAGUUGUGAAAUCCCCCGGCUUAACCGAGGAACUGCAACUGAUACUGUCGAGCUUGAGUACGG
This 651-nucleotide ribosomal RNA is filed under the name uncultured bacterium. Its description in RNAcentral is "bacterial SSU rRNA". It matches the Rfam family "Bacterial small subunit ribosomal RNA", at positions 8 to 651 of the family's 1533-position model. The record is from RNAcentral.